RNAcentral lists this ribosomal RNA (252 nucleotides) under Triticum aestivum (bread wheat). Its description in RNAcentral is "partial small subunit ribosomal RNA". The record is from RNAcentral. Lineage: Eukaryota; Viridiplantae; Streptophyta; Magnoliopsida; Poales; Poaceae.
AUGGUAAGCAAGAUGAACAAAAGAAAAAGGAUGGCUAGGAGAGCCGCUUUUUUUGUUGCACUAGCUGCAAUGGCAGUCAUUGUUCGGGCUAUAAUAAGGAAGAGGAGACCACGUACUACCUAUGGCCCAAUGCAUGAAAGAGAUCGAAUCAGAUUUGGUUAUCUAAACCAAAAAAAUUGGCAAAGCGAUGUGUUAUGCAAAAACAUGCUAACGUUUGAAAGAGCUACAUUUUUCGCUUGUGUGGCAUAUUGA